Molecule: ribosomal RNA, 1125 nt
Filed under: Ptilosphen sp. n. 1 GBF-2021a
Lineage: Eukaryota; Metazoa; Arthropoda; Insecta; Diptera; Micropezidae
Description: partial 28S ribosomal RNA
Rfam family: Eukaryotic large subunit ribosomal RNA
Source: RNAcentral
GUUUCGUGUGAACAGUGGUUGAUCACGAGUUAGUCGGUCCUAAGUUUAAUGCGAAAGCUGAAUAUUUUCAAAGUUUUUUUAAUUUAAUUUAUUAAUAUAUAUAAAAAAUAUAUACUUUGAUAAAUAUAUUUAAACGAAAGGGAAUACGGUUCCAAUUCCGUAACCUGUUGAGUAUCCGUUUGUUAUUAAAAAUGGGCCUUGUGCUCAUCCUGGUAACAGGAACGACCAUAAAGAAGCCGUCGAGAGAUAUCGGAAGAGUUUUCUUUUCUGUUUUAUAAUCGUAUUACCAUGGAAGUCUUUCGAAGAGAGAUAUGGUAGAUGGAUUAGAAGAGCAUGACAUUUACUGUUGUGUCGAUAUUAUCUCCUCGGACCUUGAAAAUUUAUGGUGGGGUCACGCAAAUUUCUCAACAGGCCGUACCGAUAUCCGCAGCUGGUCUCCAAGGUGAAGAGUCUCUAGUCGAUAGAAUAAUGUAGGUAAGGGAAGUCGGCAAAUUAUUUAAAGAGUUUUUAACAAGAGGUGUCAGAAAAGUUACCACAGGGGUAACUGGCUUGUGGCGGCCAAGCGUUCAUAGCGACGUCGCUUUUUGAUCCUUCGAUGUCGGCUCUCCCUAUCAUUGUGAAGCAAAAUUCACCAAGCGUUGGAUUGUUCACCCAUGCAAGGGAACGUGAGCUGGGUUUAGACCGUCGUGAGACAGGUUAGUUUUACCCUACUAAUGACAUUAUAUUAUUGCGACAGCAUUCCUGCGUAGUACGAGAGGAACCGCAGGUACGGACCAAUGGUACAAUACUUGUUCGAGCGAACAGUGGUAUGAUACUACGUCCGUUGGAUUAUGCCUGAACGCCUCUAAGGUCGUAUCCGCGCUGGACUGCAAUGAUAAAUAUGGGGCAAUUGCAUUGUAUGGCUUUUAAAUUAUUUUUAAGUUUUAUAAUUUUCCAUUAUAAAACGACGCAAAUAAUUAAAUGUGACGCCAAUGUUAUAUGUAAUAUAGCUAAUGUAAGAGGAUUAAAUAUCACUUGCAUGUUAUGCUCUUUUAAAUUACACAUAUUUUUAAAACAUUAUUUAAUACAAUGGCAAUGCCUAGAAUCAAUUGUAAACGACUUUGGUAACGGGCAAGGUGUUGUAAG